Denticeps clupeoides (denticle herring) is the source of this 2430-nucleotide long non-coding RNA. The record is from Ensembl. Lineage: Eukaryota; Metazoa; Chordata; Actinopteri; Clupeiformes; Denticipitidae.
CGGUAACAGGUCAAAAGUAACAGGUCCACCGACUGGGUGCUCACUGUUCUUAAGGAGUGGUAAUUGGAGAUGGCUGGUCUGCUGUGGCCACCACUAACAGGAGCAGCCUGUCUUUUUAUCAUGAAUAGUUUUAAUGUCCAUUAUACUGCCUUCAAGAGCUCAUAUGAUUCCUCAUAUGAUUGUUGUGAAAUGCCUGUGCUGACUGCUUUGACUGAGCUUUUUGGACAGGAAUGAUGCUUGAUGUUGGUGUGGAAAUAAACAAUCCCAGUCAAAUAGUGCAGAGGAAAGGAAAAAAGUAUAUUUGAGACGCCCUUAUCCAGAGCGACUUACAAUCAGUUGUUACAGGGGACAGUCCCCCUGGAGCAUCUUAGGGUUUCUUAAGUGUCUUGCUCAGGGACACAAUGGUAGUAAGUGGGAUUUGAACCUGGGUCUUCUGGUUCAUAGGCGAGUGUGUUAUUCACUAGGCUACUACCACGUCAUCACUACCAGCGCAUCAUUUUAUGCUUAUAUGUGUAUCUGCAUAUGUGUGUGGCAGGAGCCUCCAGUCUCUUCGCAGGCUGUGCUGAUAAUUCAUAUCACCUCGGCUCAAGGUUUUACCAAAUUUCUUCAGCCUGCGGACAGGGCUGAAUCCCGGCUCAGUUUUCCAUUAAACAUUAAGAGCAAAGUUUAAACUGGAUCAUAAGAGCAUAUACAUUUCCCAGUACGAUGUGUUCACCUUGUGCAGUCCCAGUCAAUGUCCACUGAGAGGCGAUACAGACAAGGAAAUAAAUACACUAGAAAGAUGAGCUUCAUGAUGUAUGUCACAUGCCUAUUUAAACAAGUGAGUUGGUCCAUGAGACUGUCACAAAGUUAAGUAAAAACAUUUAAAGUACAUUAAAGAGUGACAAUAUAGUUUUACUAGAUACAACAUUCAUUCAUCUCUACAUGACAUGUAAAGCUGUUCAUUCAUAAAAGAAUGAUGAGAAGGAUGAUCAAUAGAAAUGAACAGCACCUGAGUUAUAUAAGUGUCAGAGCAAAGGGUCUGAAUACUUAGGACCAUGUGAUAUUUCAGUUUUUCUUUGUUAAUAAGUCUGCAAAAAAAUGUCAACAAUUCUGUGUUUUUCUGUCAAUAUGGGGUGCUGUGUGUACAUUAAUGAGGGGAAAAUGAACUUAAAUGGUUUUAGCAAAUGGCUGCAAUAUGACAAAGACUGAAAAAAUUAAGGUGGCCUGAAUGCUUUCCAUACCCACUGUAUAUUUGGCUAUUCUGUUCAAGAGCAAUUACUGCAAAUACGUUUCUUUAAGUUUCUGCUUAUUACACUACUUUAUUAGAUGGAGAUUGCAUCAAAUACUCUUUUAUUCACAACAAAACAAACCCCAUAACCAACCACUGCUGGUCUGUAACAAUUUAAAUGUUUCAAUCUUGUAAUUUUCAGUUUUUCAGUAUAAAAGUUGAACAAAUUUGUGCCCUUUUUGUUUUCUUCAGAUAUGCAAAGACACCCUGUACAUGGUCUCAGUUUGUUUUUAAAAGAGCAUCAUGGUAUUUUUUUAAGAAUAUGAAAUGCCAUAAUCACUGCUGCAUUCACUGACUGUAAAACGUUCCAUUACAAUAGUUUCCAUACCUGUUCAUCUUCUAUUUCAAUUUGCCAUUAGGUGCAUUGAUUAGCCUUGGCAUGUCCACAUUCAGUUCUAUUUCAAUGUGCACCAUGACACAGAAUGUGUUUUUUUCAAUUGUUUUUGAAAAUAUGUGUUAUGCAAAAGCCCAAACUAAAGACAACACAUUGGGGGGAAAUGUCUAGUAAUUCAUUGUGUCUUCAAAUUCUUCCUGUGGAUUCAUACCAUAGCGCAAAACUGUUCCGUCCAUGAACGCCCAGGCCAUUCUCUGUGUGGUGAAUUUAGCUGCCCAUUCCGCUGGAAGGGCAUACCACAAUUGCCCCUCCUGCACCAUGGACUCAGAGGCUGAUUUACCUAUAAAAGGACAAGACAACUUCAUCACACCCUGCUUUUUGUGUAAUAUUGAUAAUAUAUAAUCUAUUUUAGCACCUGAACAUAGCAUGGAAGUAACACAAGCCUUGCUUGACAUGACAUAAAAUGUUUUAGUAAAUGCAGAGUAAAUGUAAUUGCCCAUCCUGGUAAAAAAGAGACUACCUGAAAGAUUGAUGAUGGCCUAUGUUGAGCAAGAAGGAAUAACAAGAAGAAAAACUUUUCGGUCCUGCAAUGCGGCCAGUAAAAUCAGCUCCUCAGUCAAAGUCAGAGCAAAGCGGAUCCUGCACGCCACAAAUGUAACAAGAUAAUAAAUGUAAACCUGGACCCAGACACAGGGAACCUGUUUUUACCAUUUUCCCCAGUCAUUACCAAAGCAUUUCAGAGCAAACAAUGGACCUGCUGACCCGUCAGAAUGCCGUGCCUCAUUAUUGUCCCGACGACGGCUGCGGUUUGCACAGUCGCCCUUCC